CCAAAGGCUCUUUUAAGAGCCGCCCACCUUCUCUUCAGAAAGAGCU
Anas platyrhynchos (mallard) is the source of this 46-nucleotide non-coding RNA. The record is from Rfam. NCBI's taxonomy places the organism in Eukaryota, Metazoa, Chordata, Aves, Anseriformes, Anatidae.